Molecule: unclassified non-coding RNA, 219 nt
Filed under: uncultured fungus
Lineage: Eukaryota; Fungi
Description: sequence contains ITS1, 5.8S rRNA gene
Rfam family: 5.8S ribosomal RNA (bases 171-219)
Source: RNAcentral
UCUCCGUAGGUGAACCUGCGGAAGGAUCAUUACCUGGAGUUGUGGGCUUUGCCCGCGAUCUCUUACCCAUGUUUUUUGAGUACCUACGUUUCCUCGGCGGGUCCGCCCGCCGAAUGGACAAUUUAAACCCACUGCAGUUGCAAUCAGCGUCUGAAAAAUUUAAUAGUUACAACUUUCAACAACGGAUCUCUUGGUUCUGGCAUCGAUGAAGAACGCAGC